GUCACAUCUUAAACAAUCAGCUUUAAAGUGUCUUUCUGCAGCUUUCCAGAAGCACAAGACAGACU
This is a non-coding RNA of Bos taurus (domestic cattle), 65 nucleotides long. NCBI's taxonomy places the organism in Eukaryota, Metazoa, Chordata, Mammalia, Artiodactyla, Bovidae. The record is from Rfam.